UUGUUAAAGCUAACCACUUU
This 20-nucleotide small nuclear RNA is filed under the name Arabidopsis thaliana (thale cress). RNAcentral describes it as "snRNA_03096". The record is from RNAcentral. Lineage: Eukaryota; Viridiplantae; Streptophyta; Magnoliopsida; Brassicales; Brassicaceae.